ACGCGUGGGUAACCUGCCUUAUACAGGGGAUAACAGUCAGAAAUGGCUGCUAAUACCGCAUAAGCGCACAGAGCUGCAUGGCUCAGUGUGAAAAACUCCGGUGGUAUAAGAUGGACCCGCGUUGGAUUAGCUAGUUGGUGGGGUAACGGCCCACCAAGGCGACGAUCCAUAGCCGGCCUGAGAGGGUGAACGGUCACAUUGGGACUGAGACACGGCCCAGACUCCUACGGGAGGCAGCAUG
This 241-nucleotide ribosomal RNA is filed under the name uncultured bacterium. RNAcentral's name for it is "partial 16S ribosomal RNA". It matches the Rfam family "Bacterial small subunit ribosomal RNA", at positions 113 to 353 of the family's 1533-position model. The record is from RNAcentral.